UCAGAUCUCGAGGCGCCCCCAGACUCACACUAAUUGCGCAGUGGCCAACCCUCACACUAAUUGCGUUGCUUGCUGAACCCAACCUAAUAAUAAUCCUAAGAGGCCCAGACUCCAACCAUUCCUCACUCUGUUGGAUUGGAUACGCAGCUGCCCACCCUCCUCUCCCCGACGUCUCCUCUCCCAGAUCGAUCUCACCGCCGACGCAGUCCCUCUGCCGCCUCCCCCUCACCGCGGCCCCUCCCUCCCUCGCCGGCCACCCUUCACCGCAUCACCGGCCCGAUCUGUGUGGCGGCCGCCCGAUCAACUGGGACAAAAAAAGACGGCCAGACCGUGGUUCUCGGCGCCGCCGGACGCCGACAUGAACGGCAGGGGGAUGUGAGGAGGAAGGCCUGGUGAUGGCCUGACAAGGAUGCUGCAGCCGGCGACCACCUCUCCGACCUUCUCCCCACGCCGGCAACAUCCCUGGACGGCUGGACUUGCUGCUCCCGACACCAUCCACCUCUCCGUGCCGCUGUUGCUGCCUCCCAGAACGCUUGGAUGGGCCGGACACGGAGAAGAGCAAAGCCGCGGUCGACUGCUUGGCAUUGGCUGACGUGCGGGAGCACUUUGCUGAGAGCAGCGUCUACAGCCUCGCCGUGCUUGUCCGCCUCCUCGGCUACGUCCUACCUCUCCGCCAUCCAGCUUUACACAUCCACCUGCCUCACCAUCUCCAGGAGGAGCACGGGCAGCGAAACGGAUUCCUUGAGCGGAGUUGGUUAUUAGAAGUUUGUAGAACCAGCAUACAACAGUGUUGUCUUGUCAUCGAAGCCUGAAUUUCCAGUACAGGGAGUGGGACUGACCUUACGGCAGCCAUUAGGGGUGUCGACGUGGGGUGUCAGCCAUUAGGAUGCGACGCCGGCGUCGCGAGUCACCUAGGGGAGAACCCACCAGCAGGCGUAAGCCCCUGGUGGCUGCGUCCUUCGCCGCCGCCAUGUUCCUGUCGCCGGUGGCUGCGAAAUCCAGCGGGGAUGGGGCAGCACUCUGAGCUGUUAUGAUUGCUGCUCUUCGACGUCGUCCACUCGCAGCAGUGUAUGAACUAACCACAACCACCCCUUGUCAGGGAUGGCUCCCUCCAUGUCUGCAACACCAUCUGGACACGCAGGAAGGAGGAGAUGGUGGUGGUGGUGUCCUUAACCGCUGCCAAGGUCCUGGCGACGGCGGUCGCGCCCUUCCCAUGUCCUCGCAGUCUCCUCCGAUGUCAUUGCCGGGAGCAAGACAGCAUCUACCCCCGCUGUGCAGCUGCGCUGACCUCCCCAAGCUGUUGGUGGCUUCCACCUGGAGCUGACUGGCGACAUCCUCGACCUACUGCUGGCCACAGCACCGAUGUGAUGCUCCCUCGCUGCCUCGUACCCUGACACCAUGAAGAGGCUCUAGCUUUUCUGCGGUGAUGCUCGAGAGGGAUGUAUUGGUUCCAACCCUUGAUGGCAGUGACCUGAUUGCAAGUUCAAAGACGGGAACUGGAGAAGGCAUUAGACUUUGGUGAUGUCAUUUCCCUCAAGACUUGGUUCUUGCACCCAUUAGAGAGUUGGCUAAACUAGGUCCAACAUUUCUAGGAUUCUUCAUAUACAAGGGAACAUCUUGUGAACUUCAGGCGUUGUAUUCCUCCCCGAUUUGCAGGUUAGAGCCGUCGGUCAAGCAUGUCCCUGUCUAGCCUCUUUUUACUGGAAACUUUUGAUUGAUUCUUCUCGCAUGGGUCCUUCUACAUCCAUCGUCGGCUGCAGCUUAUGCAUGGACAUGCCGGUAUCACGUCCUUAUUCUUCUGGAAAAAGUCUUGCGGCAUUGUGUCAUUGGCACCAUCUUCUUGAGCUUUCCAUGGGAUGUGCCAGCAUUUAAAUUUUUUGAUGACAGCUUAGUGUAGAAUCGUGUCAGGUGCCACACAUCUCCCGCGCCUUAGGAAGUUUCUUAGUAAUAACCAUAUGGUUCUAAUUGGCAUGCAACUAAAAUUUGUGAUGCCUUCUUAUUAUAGUAAAAGAAUGUGGUUUAGUACUUGAGAAGUUAGCCAAGAAAACUACUCCAUCCGAUCCAUAUUAGUUGCAACUAAUAUAGAUGUAUCUAGACAUAUUGUAGUUCUAGAUACAUCCAUACUAAUGUCAAGUAAUAUGAAUCGGAGGGAUUAUUUUAUUUACUCUUGGAUUGCAUGGACUAAUCAUGUAACUGGUCAGUUUGGGUGAUCAUCCAUCAAUUUAUCUACUGAAAGUGCAUUAUAUAUUUUUAGAAAUUCUUGCUUCUGCCAUGCACAAAAGUCCGUCGACUUCUGUAUAAUUUGGGAACACAAUUGACCAUACUUUACUAUACAAUGCAUUUGUAUGUUAAUCUGAUAAUUUUAUUUACUCUUGGAUUGCAUGGACUAAUCAUGUAACUGGUCAGUUUGGGUGAUCAUCCAUCAAUUUAUCUAUUGAAAGUGCAUUAUAUAUUUUUAGGAAUUCUUGCUUAUGCCAUGCACAAAAGUCCGUCGACUUCUGUAUAAUUUGGGAACACGAUUGACCAUACUUUACUAUGCAAUGCAUUAGUAUGUUUAUCUGAUAAUUUUCGAUUGUAUGGUUGUGGAUACCAAUCUGGCCCAAACUGCAUUGCUUGCUAUUCUUUGUUUCUUUUGAUAUUCCACCAGUAAAUAAGUUCCAUCGGGAACAGAUUAUUCACUUGUUCUGUAUAUUGAAUUUUUGACGAAACCUUACCGUUGAAGUUAGAUCGAUAUAUGCCAUAUAUGUUGGGUAAUCUGUCCAUAGCCUAGGCUAUGCACAUAGUUAGUUUAUUGCAGUGUUCCUCCGAUGGCCUGAUCCCUGCAUCACCUGUUACUUUGGUGAACUGCUGUUACUUUGCUCAAUUUUGUUUUUUGGUACAAGGAGAGAACUUCUCAAGGCUACUUCAGCUAAUUCCAGACACGCCACGGAAUUAUGCUGUACAUAACUAAAUCGUGUUAGGCUGUUAGGAAGCAUGGACUAUGGAGCAAGAUGAGAUGAUUGAGGAUGUGCCGAGCAGUGCAUCAUAUUUUUGGUGACAUAAAGAUACAGGUUUGUCAUCAAACUUGGAAUUUACCAGCGUUUCUGCUUAUUUGUACUUGGUUAUAUCUGGUGGCACUCCAUGAGGUUGAGGAAGGAGUGCAAUUGCACGUUCUGGCUACGGUGGUGCUGGCCGCAGCCUCCUGCGCAAAAUGCAUUGUUUUAAUCCUGGCCUUCAUUCGGCUUCGACUACCUCAUCUACUUCCUCUUCGGCUCCUGCCACCGUGCGAUGGCCGCGAGUUCACCGUGACCCAACUAUGGCAGCGGUGGCCUUCUUCUCUGCUUCCAUGUUUUUCCCUGACACCCUACAAUGGAAGUGGACUGCUAGCGGCAAAGUCAUGCUACCUGGCCUCCUUCCAUGGCUCCACAACCUCACCAUCGUGGAGGAUGAUCUGGAAGUGUUGGGCGCCGCAGCCGCGGGUCAAAUUCUUCCACUGGCUCGCCAACCUUGACCGCUGCUGGACUGUCACCGCUUGGCCAGGAGAGGGCUGCCGCACCAGACUGUCUGCCCAUUGUGCAACCAGGCACCUGAGACCAUGCACCACCUGAUCAUCGAGUGCCUGUUUGCAGACAGGCAGCACAUGGUGUGGAAGCAACAGAAUGACUGCGUCUUCGAGGGAGCACAACCUUCCGGCAGUGCCAGCGUCUCCCUGAUCAAGGAAGAAGCCAGGAUGUCGUUGAGAGCUGGCACCCUGGGACUGCGUAUCCUCUUACCGACGACCUGGGACGUCCAUUAAGCACUCCUCUUGUAAUCUUCCUCUUAGGAGGGUUGUGAAACGUCCUAUCUUUUCAAUGAAAUGAAACGUAAAGUGUCCUUCAGAUCGCCAUCGCCCCAUGAGCAAUGACGUCGAUAGCAUAGAAAGACGCUGCCAGUCAGGUAAAGAAGGAGGAUGAGUUCUGCAUGGGGCCUCUGUCUGUGCGCAUGCUGAGCGUCAAGGUCUCGUACAGGGAUCAGUGACAGAUAUCAAGGUCAACAAGUACCUCACGAGGAGCCAGUAGAAGCAUUGGUCAGUAGAUGGCUGGUUUAAGUUUCUGGUCGGGGUGGCAGUUCCAGGUUAUUCUUUUGGAACCAAGUCAAACACCUUGUGCAAUUUUUGGAGUUCAAUCGCUCAAGUAUGCUCCUAGGCAUCUUAAUCAUCUCAUUCUGAUUUGUACCUACUUGUGUACUUUGACUAGCUAGCGCCUUUUCGUCCAUAUGAAGAACCGCUCACCUCGGCCUCCAGUGCUCGGACCCUGAUCAUUGUUGGGUGUUGCUCAGGCCCUGGCCACUGCUGGGCUAUGGCUUGGAGGCGGACGACUCCUCGCCUCCGUGGCGCAAACUAGUGGACAUGAUGUCCCAGCAUCUAGCUCAUUGCAGCCAUCUGUUAUCCUUGUUGAUUGGAUAGCAUGUCAUUGUGGUGAAGAAACCAUGGAAUGGCUGGAGUUCAUGUGUUGCUAGUCGUUGAGCCCCAAUUUGAUACCAGAUGAUGUAUUUUUCUUGAUUUUAAAGCCCAGAUGUAGAUAUCAACUUUGGUGCGUGUGUUUCAUACUGGCAGUGGAAGGCCAAUAGUUUGUACUUGUUUCGAUCUUGUUGUGGCUUGCUGGAUACACCAAGUUUUAGUAGGGAUGAAUAGGCAAUAGCUUGUUAAAAAAAAAGGCAAUAGCAAAACGAGUGUCUUUCAUCUGUAGAGGCUCAUCUGUUGUAGGGUUAUUACUGUACCGGUGAUGUAAUAUAUAAGACCAACCGUUUAUUUGGAUCGGCA
Lolium perenne is the source of this 4780-nucleotide long non-coding RNA. RefSeq lists it as uncharacterized. The record is from RefSeq and is a predicted model, not a curated record. Lineage: Eukaryota; Viridiplantae; Streptophyta; Magnoliopsida; Poales; Poaceae.